UGUAAAAGCCUGUGCUUUAGUCUGUUAAAGUCUGUUAACACGGGUCUGUGUGGUUUUUUUUAUGUUUGGAUCGGUUCCUGAGUGUGUUUUUACAUGUCUCUGCGUACAUGUGGGUCUGUGCAUGUGUGAGUGUAAUUACGUGUGUUUCUGUUUAUGUGUGUGUCCGUUCAUAUAUGUGCUGUCAUGCAUGGCUGGUCUUGGGCUUAGGGCAGUGGUCCCCUCUGCGGCCCGGGCCGCAGACCCAUUUGCCACCGGGCCGCAGAAGAAUUUAGGGACGUUUUUUUUUUUUUUUUGAGUCAGAAAUCUUUCAUUUUGAAAAUCAACCAGGUUUUCUCAAUUAUACUGAGCGCUAAAAGCAGUCCAGCGGCGUGUAACACGAGAAAAGUUGCAUGUGUAAACCUUUCUCCGCGAAUGGAUGGGAUUAGUGCAGCAACAGAAGAACAGACGGAAAACAGGUGAUUCCCACACAACAUACCUGUUUGCAUAGAUAUCUGACUUUCCCGAACAAAUCUAAUCUUUAGAACGGUCAUAGAAAUGCUCAAACAUGCUCGUCCAUUCAGAUACACAUUUCAGAGUGCGCAGAGGCCGAAACGGCAACGGCUGCCGAACGCUGCAGAGGCCUGUCGAUUAGAGAACUUUUUAAAACAGGUAAUGAUGCCAAUACUAUUAAAGAUUAUGACAUUUGAU
Long non-coding RNA from Oryzias melastigma (Indian medaka), 687 nucleotides. RefSeq lists it as uncharacterized. The record is from RefSeq and is a predicted model, not a curated record. The transcript has 2 exons. Lineage: Eukaryota; Metazoa; Chordata; Actinopteri; Beloniformes; Adrianichthyidae.